AAUCAACGCUGGCGGCGUGCCUAACACAUGCAAGUCGCACGAGAAAGCGGACUUUGGUCUGCAAGUACAGUGGCGCACGGGUGAGUAACACGUGAAUUAUCUACCUUCGAGUGGGGAAUAACCUCGGGAAACCGAGGCUAAUACCGCAUAACACUUACGAGUCAAAGCAGAAAUGCGCUUGAAGAGGAGGUCGCGGAAGAUUAGUUAGUUGGAGGGGUAAUGGCCCACCAAGACGAUGAUCUGUAUCCGGCCUGAGAGGGCGCACGGACGCACUGGAACUGAAACACGGUCCAGACUCCUACGGAAGGCAGCAGUGGGGAAUUUUGCGCAAUGGGGGAAGCCCUGACACAGCAACGCCGCGUGGAGGAUGAAAUCCCUUGGGAUGUAAACUCCGUUCGAUCGGGACGAUUAUGACGGUACCGGAAGAAGAAGCCCCGGCUAACUUCGUGCCAGCAGCCGCGGUAA
This 465-nucleotide ribosomal RNA is filed under the name uncultured bacterium. RNAcentral describes it as "partial 16S ribosomal RNA". It matches the Rfam family "Bacterial small subunit ribosomal RNA", at positions 32 to 523 of the family's 1533-position model. The record is from RNAcentral.